AUACAACAGACCAACAAAUAACAUAACAAAGAAAAAUGUUAUCUCUCUGUGAAGGCAGCCAAGCAAAAGUGGGAUAAUUCUCUUAUCAUCAGAGGGUUUGUUACCAAGGCUGAAAAGCUUGGGAACCAAGAAGAGGACUUUCACCUUGUAAGGUACUUCUCUUGUUUGGGAACCUCGGGGAAUAGAAGGUACUGGAUGUAGCUGCUUCACUGCCUAGCGGGGCACUCGUCCGGGAAGCCGCUGCAUGUUCCAGCAGACAUGACCAGGCCCCGAUUCACAGCCAGACCUUGUAUGCAGCUUCUCGCUCUUUCGGCUUUUCUGAAUCCGCCUUUUUUUUCACUCCUUCGUUCUGCUUUUGCACCUACGUCUGUCCCAAAAUAAAAUCU
Molecule: long non-coding RNA, 386 nt
Organism: Brienomyrus brachyistius
Lineage: Eukaryota; Metazoa; Chordata; Actinopteri; Osteoglossiformes; Mormyridae
Exons: 4
Source: RefSeq, a predicted model, not a curated record